Molecule: long non-coding RNA, 658 nt
Organism: Carassius carassius (crucian carp)
Lineage: Eukaryota; Metazoa; Chordata; Actinopteri; Cypriniformes; Cyprinidae
Exons: 2
Source: RefSeq, a predicted model, not a curated record
CCAAUGCACGUUAAAGUUCUGUUAUGUCGCCUGUCGCUUUAAAUGCACAAGGUGGAUUCUGAUUGGAUGUCAUUCUAUAUAUCGUUAAUCAGCCGAUAAAUCAAUUGUUUCGGGGUUAUUCCAACGAUAACGUACCUCUGUCACUAUCGUUCUUGUUUUGGUAGACUUCGCUAUUCUCCUACCAUUAGAACUAACUUUUUCUAGUCAUCGUCUUUUCUCUAGUUAAAUGGAAUUAUAAUCCAUUUUAAUUCACCAAGAACGAUUGUGUUAAUUAUAUGUAUGUAGAAACAAAUAAUAACUACUAUCUGAUGAGUGAUUUUCCUUAGUGGGUAUCCCCAUUUACGUAUUUCCCCUCAUUCACAGUGAACUUGGAUCACUCAAAGCCUUUUCCCCAGUCAUACACAAAGGCCACUUAGUGGGAAUGACACCUUACAGCAGAAAGAUACAUUUAGGGGGAGUUUAUGACCUUACAAAAGUAAGUACACCUAUACCAAACUUGACGAACCAUUAAAGUUAUUCUGUGAAAAAUACAAACUUACCUCAGGAGACAAACUAUUUGAUGUAGGCUAUAUACAAUAGCUCAGCUAACAAUAGUUUGACUCAAAUGCAAAGUGUUCUUUUACAAAUAACAAAGUGUUGAAAUAAAAUGACAUUGUUA